ACCACAUCCCUCCCACAACAUGCGCAACAUGCGGAGAUUAUGGGAGCUACAAUUCAAGAUGAGAUUUAGCUUUGGAGGGUGGAGAAUAACCCAGUUGAAAAUCUACAAGCAAUGCUGUCCACAUCCCAAAUAGACUGGUCAAAAAGCCUUCAUCCCGUCAGUCACUGACAUCAACUUCAUCCAAAUCAGACUCCUAAAAACCCGGCCUAACUUAUGUGUCAUGCAAAGGAUGGCUCUUGGAAAAAUGCAAAGAAGCAGGGGCCGCUAAGGGAGAGAUGUGAAGGUCAAGGAAGCUCUGAGCUCCUGACAGCCGCCCUUCCAGCCUUCUCCUGCCUUCCAUAGAGAGAUGCUAUGGACUCUUGGUCCAGAGACUCAAAUUCAAGGAAAAGAAGAGGCAACAUUUGCAGUGUUGAUCCUUGAGUUGAACAAAGAGUGGUCAGGAGAAGAAACCAACAAGAAAUGUAACCUACCUCCAGAACUCAGGAACUCAGGUACCCUUAAGGAUAUCAGAAACAAUGAAAUAUGGAUUGGCAGAAGCAUCUUCACCACCAUCUUCAGAUGUAAUUAAUGCAGCUGUUGAAUUUGGUUGACUAUCCACCUAUAAUUACCACAUUGCCCAUUACAGAUUUUUGCUGCCUUUUCUUGCCUCCUUUUCAUUUUUACAUCCACUUAUUCCCUACAGAAAUGACAGAUAAUCAGCAUUUUUGUUUUCUUGUUAUGUUGUCCUGAUAGUACAGCUACAAAUGGAUUUGAUGUGCUGAAUAAUGGUCUACUAGGCCUAAAAAUGAAAGUCUAGACCCUUAGUCAAAAAUAACUUGGAUCUAUGUGGUACCAAGAAAAGAGGAAUUAUAAGAAAAAGAAUAUUAGUUUAAUGUUCUGUAAAUUUUUUUCUUAACCUAUUCUGUCCAGUAUUUACUACUUGGCUGCAUUCCUAAAACAUAAAUUUCACAGGGGCAGGAGUCUUUGUCCAUUUUGCUCAUUAAUGUGUUAGGAAUACUAAAAAGAGUGUCUAGCGGGGUAGUCACAUAAUAAAUACCUGUUGCAUGAACAAA
Homo sapiens (human) is the source of this 1052-nucleotide long non-coding RNA. Ensembl annotates it as long intergenic non-protein coding RNA 2654. Lineage: Eukaryota; Metazoa; Chordata; Mammalia; Primates; Hominidae. The record is from Ensembl.